CGCCCCCUUGGCCACCGCCCCCUCUUAUUGUUUUACCCCUGCCGAAAGGGCCAGGGAACCCCCCAGCACAACGCCAGCCAAUCACGUAUCUCCUUUGAGCUCCGGACCCAACCUCCUCGCGUCGCUGCGCGGAGCAUGCGCAGUGCACCACCGCGCUCGCGGAUACUCGCGCCGGAAAGCCGGGCACCACAACCGGACUGCAGCUGGCGGGUGCGCUGAUCUGACGUCACAGGGGCGGCCGCUCCCGCCCCACCCGCGUGGUGCCGCACCUCUGCGCAGCGGCGUUCCCGAGCCUCACAGGUGGGCAGAGAACUGCUUGGAUAGCUUCAUCACACACUGUCUUCAGACCUCAUUGGGUGAGAGCUGAGCACUCCAGGAUGAUGGGAGUGUUAAGACAAUGGUGUCACACUUCUGGAUACCACUUUGACUGCCCCCUCUGAUGAUUACUCACAUGGAACCUGGCCUCCCAUGGCACAAUACAGGAAUGAGAAUAUCUAGAGUCCAGAAUGAGGUACACCCAAGGGAGAGGACUGUGGCAGAGACUGGCAUAGAGACGGCACCUUGAAUGCUUGCUGAAUCAGUAACGGAAGAAACCAAGUCUGUCUUCUCUCAGGAUUCUGGUAUCCGGAGCUAUUUUCAGAGCUGAAAAAAAAACUCACUGUAUUUUCGUGGGUGUAACACUGUGGCUGUAGAUAUUAGCCAGCAGUUUCAUUCAGUUUCCUGGCUUGCUCUCGUCACUCUACCGCUUCGUCCCUCCUUCUUCUCUCCUUCUUCGAAGCCCUCUGCCCUCUCUUCAUCCAUCAGCUCCUACAGCUCCAUGUGCCCCAAAGAGGAAGGGACUGAGGAAGAACCCUGGGAAACUCUCAGAGUAGAGUAGCUCCUGCUGAGACCAGGACCAGCCUUUCCAGACUGGCAGAAAAAACCCCAAAUCACUGCAGCAAGGAGCCUGGGCCAGGGUCAGCCACCAGGGGCAGAAGAGCUAAGACUGCAGAAGGGCCCUGAAUCCAGGCCAGAUCAACCCAACAGACACGCCUAUGGUGGUUCUGAAGUUCACAGGAAUGGCUAAUAUACACUCGAAGAAAGUGCAUUAAAUAAGUCAUUGCACAGAUUCAUUUUAAGUAAACAAGAGAAUUAUCACUAACAAUAUGCUAGUGGCACUGCUGGAAGCUUUUAGGGAUACAGUGAAUAUCUACGACUUUUCCUAUCUUGAUAAACUAUAUCCUGGCACAGUACUGCAGCUUUCUUUUGAGGAACAACCCUGCUCCCCAGUUCUUUUUCUGGAUUCUGUGCGAUAAGCUAAGGGUUCCCACUCCUUGCUUUAGUGGUAAACAUCUGACUCAGUGCCACUAAGAACACCUCCA
Molecule: long non-coding RNA, 1361 nt
Organism: Heterocephalus glaber (naked mole-rat)
Lineage: Eukaryota; Metazoa; Chordata; Mammalia; Rodentia; Bathyergidae
Source: RefSeq, a predicted model, not a curated record